AGUGAACGCUGGCGGUAGGCCUAACACAUGCAAGUCGAACGGCAGCACAGUAAGAGCUUGCUCUUACGGGUGGCGAGUGGCGGACGGGUGAGGAAUACAUCGGAAUCUACUUUUUCGUGGGGGAUAACGUAGGGAAACUUACGCUAAUACCGCAUACGACCUACGGGUGAAAGCAGGGGAUCUUCGGACCUUGCGCGAUUGAAUGAGCCGAUGUCGGAUUAGCUAGUUGGCGGGGUAAAGGCCCACCAAGGCGACGAUCCGUAGCUGGUCUGAGAGGAUGAUAAGCAACACUGGAACGGAGACACGGUCAAGACUCCUACGGGAGGAAGCAGUGGGGAAUAUUGGACAAUGGGCGCAAGCCUGAUCCAGCCAUACCGCGUGGGUGAAGAAGGCCUUCGGGUUGUAAAGCCCUUUUGUUGGGAAAGAAAAGCAGCAGGUUAAUACCCCGCUGUUCUGACGGUACCCAAAGAAUAAGCACCGGCUAACUUCGUG
This 492-nucleotide ribosomal RNA is filed under the name uncultured bacterium. RNAcentral's name for it is "partial 16S ribosomal RNA". It matches the Rfam family "Bacterial small subunit ribosomal RNA", at positions 29 to 507 of the family's 1533-position model. The record is from RNAcentral.